AACGAACGCUGGCGGCGUGGAUAAGACAUGCAAGUCGAACGGGGCGGAUGCGAUUACAUCAAGUCUGUUCAGUGGCGGACGGGUGCGUAACACGUGAACAAUCUGCCGGGAGGAGGGGGAUAGCCCAUGGAAACGUGGAUUAAUACCCUGUGCGGCGGGAUCCGGCAUCGGAUUCCGGCCAAAGGCGGUGCAAGCCGCCG
Molecule: ribosomal RNA, 200 nt
Filed under: uncultured bacterium
Lineage: Bacteria
Description: partial 16S ribosomal RNA
Rfam family: Bacterial small subunit ribosomal RNA
Source: RNAcentral